AACGAACGCUGGCGGCAGGCCUAACACAUGCAAGUCGAACGUGAAGCCACCUUCGGGUGGUGGAAAGGGGCAGACGGGUGAGUAACACGUGGUAACGUGCCUUUCGGUUCGGGAUAACCCAGGGAAACUUGGGCUAAUACCGGAUAGGCCGUCCGGGGGGAAGAUUAAUUGCCGAAAGAUCGGCCCGCGUCGGAUUAGCUAGUUGGUGGGGUAAAAGCCUACCAAGGCGACGAUCCGUAGCUGGUCUGAGAGGAUGACCAGCCACACUGGGACUGGGACACGGCCCAGACUCCUACGGGAGGCAGCAGUGGGGAAUAUUGGACAAUGGGCGCAAGCCUGAUCCAGCCAUGCCGCGUGGGUGAAGAAGGCCCUAGGGUUGUAAACCCCUUUCAGCGGGGAAGAUAAUGACGGUACCCGCAGAAGAAGCCCCGGCUAACUCCGUACCAGCCGCCGCAGUAA
This 459-nucleotide ribosomal RNA is filed under the name uncultured bacterium. RNAcentral describes it as "partial 16S ribosomal RNA". It matches the Rfam family "Bacterial small subunit ribosomal RNA", at positions 29 to 523 of the family's 1533-position model. The record is from RNAcentral.